GGAGCAGUCCCGGCACAAGAGGAUAGCUGGCCUGUGGGAAAUAUUGAUUGCAGUGGAGCUGAGGGAAACUCCCUCCUUUUUGUAGGCUUCUUUUCUACGGUGUCAAAGCAAUGAAGUGUAUCUACCCACAGUCACCAGUUGUAUCCUGACAGUCCUUCCUUGAAAAUGGGCAAGCUGUGACUCCACGCUCACGGGAAUACAGCAGUGACUGCACUGACUCCAUCAUAGUUUGAUGUAUUCAUGUUCUUUGAAAGGACCAGUGGAAAUUGUCAUAAAUUCAUUUGCUAUUCAUGUUAAUGAAUGCUAGCUCUUAUUCUUCCUCAAUGGUAUUAUGAUUGCAAUCUGGAUUGCCAUAGGGACCCCGCUGUAAUUCAUCAUUGCUUCAGUGUUCAAAUCCUCUGGUGGAACCAGAUAUUGGUGUCGACAACAUCUGGAGUUUUACGUCUCUCGUCUUUUUUCUACCUCCUUCCCUCUGUUUAAUCAAGAGAAUGGGAAGGGGAAAUUGCUGCCAUUGUUAAUAUCGUCAAGAAACCGAAUGACUGCUAGGACUUUGGAGGAUAUUUAGACCUAGGAUUAGGAGAUACAGGCCUGUUCACAGAGGUGAGACUGAGGAACAUCUGCUUUCAACACACUGUAAUGCCAGUCGCCAUGGCAUGCCCAGAGAGGCAGGAGGCCACGCUUCCAUCUCCCAUUCUGAAGCCAAGCAGUGGAUUUGGCGGGUGUGCCCUUUCACAGAAGAGCGUCUUGGCAACCACAGUACAUAUUUGUCUUCCAGGACUAUGAGCGUGUCGUGGUAGGGAACCAACCUUUGUGCAUCCAAAUGCUCCACAACUGGAAUGGCCUCUGCACAAUUCACGUCAAUGGGAUGGUGGUGCAUCUUGUAAACAUCUUGAAUGAAAAGUAAUGCAGAUGGGGAUGGGAAAAGAGGGUCUGCUGUGCAAGAGGAGAUGAAGCAGACUUCCAACACUAUAUUUUAAUCUGAAUGUAAUACUGGAUUUCUCCACCUUCAGAAGCUUGAAGUCUUUUUUGAACACAUCAUUGCUCAUAGAACAUAGAGGCCGUGGUUGUGGUCAUGCUCACUGAAGAGAUGCAAAGCCUAGUUACACCACCAUAGGCCAAGGAGAAGCAAAUGGGGCCAUGCUGUUGCUUCAGCCUCUGCUUUCGAGUUUUACUUCUGCUGCAUCCUGUGAAUUGUGAUAUGUAAAUCUCUGUUGGCCAUAAAUCCCCAGUCUUGUCAGAAUGAAUGCAGAUCAUAGAAGGGAAAGGAAGGGGAGGAUGCAUUUUAAUGUUUUUAAGCUUUGCUGAGGACAUCUGGCCUGUGGUGAUUUGCUUAAAAGAGGAUUAAUUGUAACGCAAACUCAGGAAGAAUGGGGAUUCUUUAGUGACAAGUGUCAAGUAUACAGGAAAUGUAUUGUUUAUAGGAGCCAGUGGAAUCAAAACAGAAUUAUAAAACCUUUCCAGGAUCUCCCUGAUGUUUCAAAACGCUUCAGAGAAAUCCAUUAUAUCUGGAGAAUUUCCCCAGCAGGAAUUCUUCGUGUAAUAGAGUUUUGUCCGCAAUGUCUUCCGUUUGAAUAAAGAACUUCUUUGAAACCCAGAGUUACAGCAAGUGAAGUGAAGCUAAAUUGUGUUUGCCUUACGCACAGAAGUGCUUUGCACAAACACAGUUUUGUCAGCAAAUAGACUGUUACUCGUUAAAUGAGAGUGUUUGUGCCACGUAAUUAAAGUUCCAUGGUCUGGCUUGUUGCAGAUGAUAGACACCAAUAUAGACCCACAGCUUUAUCCCCGUGGAUGAACAUCUGCAGCCCCACAGCCUUACUACCUGAGGGAGGACUCACUAACCCCAGGCAUAUCUACCUGGUGAGCUGGAGGCUGGUAUAGAGAUAUCCAAGCUAGCAGAGAUCCCAGCCAGUGUGGAUUUCCAAUGUGGCUCUGAAUGCAGCCCAGCCAUUUUUUGUGAAGUAUGGUGCUCAGACUAAUAAAUCUGCCCCAGAAAAGUCUUUGGCUGUGGUCCUGCAGAUACACAAGGGGACAGAUUCAUAAAGUGAACCAGAUCUGUGAUAGGUUUUCUGAAGGGUGACCACUGUGCCAGAUGGAUUUUCUAGUAACAGCAGCACUCACUAGUUUUGAAAAUGAAAUGUUGAGAAGUGCUGAUUUCAGAAUAACGUGGAGGUCAGCUAUUACAGUCUUUGUAUGAAAUAAAUAUUGGAUACCAAUAAAUAAGUGAUGUUACACUCUGAAA
Aquila chrysaetos chrysaetos is the source of this 2239-nucleotide long non-coding RNA. RefSeq lists it as uncharacterized. NCBI's taxonomy places the organism in Eukaryota, Metazoa, Chordata, Aves, Accipitriformes, Accipitridae. The record is from RefSeq and is a predicted model, not a curated record. The transcript is spliced from 6 exons.